Long non-coding RNA from Passer domesticus (house sparrow), 1120 nucleotides. RefSeq lists it as uncharacterized. The record is from RefSeq and is a predicted model, not a curated record. Lineage: Eukaryota; Metazoa; Chordata; Aves; Passeriformes; Passeridae. The transcript is spliced from 3 exons.
UGCAUGAACUGGUUACUUCAGGAGUUGGAAGUGCUACAGAGAAACACUUCCAAGAUAAAGUGCUUGUGUGAGCCAAGAAGGAAGGACCCUUGUCAGCGGCACCAUGGUUAGGCUCUAAUGCCAUCAUCUUCUCUCUGUGACAGACAACAUUCAGAAGACUAAGUAUACUUUCCAAUUUCUGCAGACAGGAUUUGUUUACACAGCCUGUACUGUGGCCAAUAAGAUGAUCCCAGGAAGAAGUGACUCCAGCAGAAAGGAUCAGAAGCAGCAGGACUUGCUUUAUCACUGAAUAGCACAACUGAAGGUGCCCAACUGGAAAACACUGAAACCUUCAAGGAAACGAUUAAAAUCAGGAAGAGUCAUCUCUGAUCCUCCAGCUGAAGUCUGCCAGCUCUCGCACAGAAAGACCACUCUGUACCUGACUCUCGAAAGACAUUUUCCCCUAGCAAUAACAUUAACAUCUUACCUAUGCAAAUAUUGUCACCAGCUCCAGCACCAAGCAUCUUCUCCCCAGGUUUAUCUGCAUCCCAGGCUGCCAGCUGACUUCUAUCCCUCCCCACUGUUCUAGGUCCUCCAUGUUCACCUGAACUUCUGCAGUUUCCUGGGCCUUUCUCUCCCCCCACUUACAGUUACAAACCCAAAUAAUUUCACUAGCCAGCUUCAUUUAGAAUUCAAGUAGAAGGAGGAAGUUAUUAACCAGCCCCUCAAAAACUCUAAUUAUACUCAGUAACUCAGCUCUAUCACUGGUUAUUUUUUGAACCCCAGCCCUCCAUUACUGGUUACAGCUCAAGUACCACCAUAUUCCUUUGUUUUUCAAGACUUCUGACUCCAGACUACAGAGAAAUAAGGCAGUUCAGCAUUAGUGUGUUUUUGAUCAAUCAAGCCAGAUGACAAAUUUUACAUCUUGAAAUCUGAGAUUUUAUUCCUGUUAGUUUUCAGUAAGAGAGAAAGAUAAGUGUAGCCUAAUUUCCCUUUACUAACAAGCCCCUGGAUGACACCGAGCUGUUGGCCACAGGGCAGUGAAUCAGCAGCUUAGUUUCUUGCAAAUAUUUUUAGAAGCACCUACUACAGUUACACCUGGAUAUCAAGGCAGCAUCAAGAAAGCAUUAGCAUUACCCAA